Molecule: ribosomal RNA, 511 nt
Filed under: uncultured bacterium
Lineage: Bacteria
Description: bacterial SSU rRNA
Rfam family: Bacterial small subunit ribosomal RNA
Source: RNAcentral
GGAAUAUUGGACAAUGGGCGCAAGCCUGAUCCAGCCAUGCCGCGUGAGUGAUGACGGCCUUAGGGUUGUAAAGCUCUUUCGCUCGGGACGAUAAUGACGGUACCGAGAUAAGAAGCCCCGGCUAACUUCGUGCCAGCAGCCGCGGUAAUACGAAGGGGGCUAGCGUUGUUCGGAAUUACUGGGCGUAAAGCGCGUGUAGGCGGGUCUUUAAGUCAGGGGUGAAAUGCCAAGGCUCAACCUUGGAACUGCCUUUGAUACUGGAGAUCUUGAGUCCGGGAGAGGUGAGUGGAACUGCGAGUGUAGAGGUGAAAUUCGUAGAUAUUCGCAAGAACACCAGUGGCGAAGGCGGCUCACUGGCCCGGAACUGACGCUGAGACGCGAAAGCGUGGGGAGCAAACAGGAUUAGAUACCCUGGUAGUCCACGCUGUAAACGAUGGAUGCUAGCCGUUGGGGAGCUUGCUCUUCAGUGGCGCCGCUAACGCAUUAAGCAUCCCGCCUGGGGAGUACGGUC